Molecule: ribosomal RNA, 247 nt
Filed under: uncultured Caulobacteraceae bacterium
Lineage: Bacteria; Pseudomonadati; Pseudomonadota; Alphaproteobacteria; Caulobacterales; Caulobacteraceae
Description: partial 16S ribosomal RNA
Rfam family: Bacterial small subunit ribosomal RNA
Source: RNAcentral
AAGAGGAUAGCGUCGCUCAUAAUUACUAGGCGUAAAGGGAGCGUAGGCGGACAUUUAAGUCAGGGGUGAAAUCCCGGGGCUCAACCUCAGAAUCGCCUUUGAUAAAGAAUUCUAAAGUAUGAAAGAGGUGUGUGAAACUCCGAAUGUAGAGGUGAAAUUUUUAGAUAUUCGGAAGACCACCAGUGGGGAAGGCGACACACUGGCUCAUUACUGACGCUGAGGCUCGAAAGCGUGGGGAGCAACCAGG